This 75-nucleotide transfer RNA is filed under the name Alosa alosa (allis shad). RNAcentral's name for it is "tRNA-OTHER". The record is from RNAcentral. Lineage: Eukaryota; Metazoa; Chordata; Actinopteri; Clupeiformes; Clupeidae.
GCAGCCGUGGCCUACUGGUUAGGCCUUCGGACUUGUAACCGGAUGGUUUGCCGGUUCGAUCCCCGACCAGUAGGA